This 250-nucleotide ribosomal RNA is filed under the name uncultured prokaryote. RNAcentral describes it as "partial 16S ribosomal RNA". It matches the Rfam family "Bacterial small subunit ribosomal RNA", at positions 524 to 773 of the family's 1533-position model. The record is from RNAcentral.
UACGUAGGGGGCAAGCGUUAUCCGGAAUGAUUGGGCGUAAGGGGCGCGUAGGCGGCCUUGUAAGUCUGGAGUGAAAGUCCUGGUUUUAAGCUGGGAAUUGCUUUGGAUACUGUAAGGCUUGAGUGCAGGAGAGGUAAGUGGAAUUCCCAGUGUAGCGGUGAAAUGCGUAGAGAUUGGGAGGAACACCAGUGGCGAAGGCGACUUACUGGACCGUAACUGACGCUGAGGCGCGAAAGUGUGGGGAGCAAAC